Molecule: ribosomal RNA, 340 nt
Filed under: Salmonella enterica subsp. enterica serovar Typhimurium
Lineage: Bacteria; Pseudomonadati; Pseudomonadota; Gammaproteobacteria; Enterobacterales; Enterobacteriaceae
Also listed under: 1 other name
Description: partial 23S ribosomal RNA
Rfam family: Bacterial large subunit ribosomal RNA
Source: RNAcentral
AUCUAAGUACCCCGAGGAAAAGAAAUCAACCGAGAUUCCCCCAGUAGCGGCGAGCGAACGGGGAGGAGCCCAGAGCCUGAAUCAGCAUGUGUGUUAGUGGAAGCGUCUGGAAAGGCGCGCGAUACAGGGUGACAGCCCCGUACACAAAAGCGCAUGUGCUGUGAGCUCGAUGAGUAGGGCGGGACACGUGGUAUCCUGUCUGAAUAUGGGGGGACCAUCCUCCAAGGCUAAAUACUCCUGACUGACCGAUAGUGAACCAGUACCGUGAGGGAAAGGCGAAAAGAACCCCGGCGAGGGGAGUGAAAAAGAACCUGAAACCGUGUACGUACAAGCAGUGGGA